GACGAACGCUGGCGGCGUGCUUAACACAUGCAAGUCGAACGGAAAGGCCCUGCUUUUGUGGGGUGCUCGAGUGGCGAACGGGUGAGUAACACGUGAGUAACCUGCCCUUGACUUUGGGAUAACUUCAGGAAACUGGGGCUAAUACCGGAUAGGAGCUCCUGCUGCAUGGUGGGGGUUGGAAAGUUUCGGCGGUUGGGGAUGGACUCGCGGCUUAUCAGCUUGUUGGUGGGGUAGUGGCUUACCAAGGCUUUGACGGGUAGCCGGCCUGAGAGGGUGACCGGACAGAGGGAGAGGGGGAUAACGUAGAUAGGUGGGGGGGAGGGAGGGGUGGGGAGGAUGGCACAGGGUGCGGAAGACGGAUGAGGCGCGGCCGGGUGGGGGAAGUAGGGAGGCUGGUUGUCAACCGCUGUGGCGGGGGGAGAGGGUGGGGUGAGAGUAGGGAGUAAAGAAGCGCCGGGAAACUACGGGCGAGCAGCGGAGAUGAGAGGGGGAAAAGGGCUGAGC
This 504-nucleotide ribosomal RNA is filed under the name uncultured bacterium. Its description in RNAcentral is "partial 16S ribosomal RNA". The stretch from base 20 to 332 matches the Rfam family "Bacterial small subunit ribosomal RNA", at positions 47 to 358 of the family's 1533-position model. The record is from RNAcentral.